CCUACGGGGGGCAGCAGUGGGGAAUAUUGGGCAAUGGGCGCAAGCCUGACCCAGCAACGCCGCGUGAAGGAAGAAGGCUUUCGGGUUGUAAACUUCUUUUGUCAGGGACGAAGCAAGUGACGGUACCUGACGAAUCAGCCACGGCUAACUACGUGCCAGCCGCCGCGGUAAUACGUAGGUGGCAAGCGUUCUCCGGAUUUAUUGGGUGUAAAGGGCGUGUAGGCGGGAAUGCAAGUCAGAUGUGAAAACUAUGGGCUCAACCCAUAGACUGCAUUUGAAACUGUAUUUCUUGAGUGCUGGAGAGGCAAUCGGAAUUCCGUGUGUAGCGGGGAAAUGCGUAGAUAUACGGAGGAACACCAGUGGCGAAGGCGGAUUGCUGGACAGUAACUGACGCUGAGGCGCGAAAGCGUGGGGAGCAAACAGGAUUAGAUACCCCUGUAGUC
Molecule: ribosomal RNA, 443 nt
Filed under: uncultured bacterium
Lineage: Bacteria
Description: partial 16S ribosomal RNA
Rfam family: Bacterial small subunit ribosomal RNA
Source: RNAcentral